This 460-nucleotide ribosomal RNA is filed under the name uncultured bacterium. Its description in RNAcentral is "partial 16S ribosomal RNA". It matches the Rfam family "Bacterial small subunit ribosomal RNA", at positions 338 to 795 of the family's 1533-position model. The record is from RNAcentral.
CCUACGGGGGGCAGCAGUGAGGAAUAUUGGUCAAUGGGCGAAAGCCUAAACCAGCCAAGUCGCGUGAAUGAUGACGGCCCUACGGGUUUUAAACUUCUUUUGUCAGGGAGCAAUUGGGUCCACGUGAGGGCUUAGCGAGAGUACAUGACGAAACAGCAUCGGCCAACUCAGUGCCAGCAGCCGCGGUAAUACGUAGGAUGCGAGCGUUAUCCGGUUUGAUUGGGUGUAAAGGGUGGGUAGGCGGAAUGUCUAGUCAGCGUGAAAGAUUAGGGCCUCAACCCCGUAGUGCCGUUGAAACUGAUGUUCUUGAGUGGGCGAGAGGUAUGCGGAAUUCGUGGUGUAGCGGUGAAAUGCGUAGAUAUCACGCAGAACUCCAGUUGCGAAGGCAGCAUACUGGCGCCCAACUGACGCUGAGGCACGAAAGCGUGGGUAGCGAACAGGAUUAGAUACCCGGGUAGUC